Jaculus jaculus (lesser Egyptian jerboa) is the source of this 756-nucleotide long non-coding RNA. RefSeq lists it as uncharacterized. Lineage: Eukaryota; Metazoa; Chordata; Mammalia; Rodentia; Dipodidae. The record is from RefSeq and is a predicted model, not a curated record. The transcript has 2 exons.
CACACUCACUCACUCACAGGCCGGGCUGUGUAAACAGUUGGGAAGCCGGGUUGUGCAAUGAAGUGGCUGCGACGACUCCGGCCCCGUCUCCGGGUUAGCAGUCACCGGAGAGGAGGGAGGAGACUGGGGGACGAGGAGGUGGAGUUAGAGCUCUAAUCCCUAGCGUCUGUUCGCUUCCACAAAUAGAACCUUCUGUUGGAUGAAAUAAAAGCAAACACUGGGCCUUCUGCGCUGCCUCCACCUCCACGCCCCUCCCGCGCCUACCGCCCGCCCAGAUUGCACGGAAAUAGCUUCUCCAGGCUCCCGGGCCGCCCCUUCGCGGUGACUCGCCCAGAGCCAGCUUCCUGAGCCCGGCCGGUGGGAAACAAAGGAUGUGGGGAGCGGGCGGAAGGGGCCCACGUGGCCGCCACCGGAUUCCUGUCCCCUCCCCGCCUCCGCACGCGCCCUGGGGUCUGGGGCGGCGGUGCCGGCCUGGUUAUCCGGAGAGAUGGAGCAAGUGACGCCCGCCACCUGCCCCCGGACAAGGUCAUGUGUGCAGUCUCAUGAAACUAUGGCAGGCUUCAUGUGCAGUUCAAGAAAAGUAACUUGGAAUCUCAUUCUGUGCCUUUUGUUUUCUUUUAAGAACCAGGUCGGUUUGGAGUCCCAGGACACCCAAGCACAGCUACUUAUUACCAAAGUCCUUACUUGGCGCUUCUGCUAAAUACUUAAUUUCCUAAAACCAGGUCAAACCCAAGAAUAAAUCCUUUUCAUUAUUAA